GAUGAACGCUAGCUACAGGCUUAACACAUGCAAGUCGAGGGGAAACGGCAUUAAGUGCUUGCACUUUUUGGACGUCGACCGGCGCACGGGUGAGUAACGCGUAUCCAACCUUCCCAUGACUAAGGGAUAACCUGCCGAAAGGCAGACUAAUACCUUAUGGUCUUCACUGACGGCAUCAGAUGUGAAGUAAAGAUUUAUCGGUUAUGGAUGGGGAUGCGUCUGAUUAGCUUGUUGGCGGGGUAACGGCCCACCAAGGCAACGAUCAGUAGGGGUUCUGAGAGGAAGGGCCCCCAAAUUGGAACUGAGACAAGGGCCAAACUCCUACGGGAGGCAGCAGUGAGGAAUAUUGGUCAAUGGGCGAGAGCCUGAACCAGCCAAGUAGCGUGCAGGAUGACGGCCCUAUGGGUUGUAAACUGCUUUUGUAUGGGGAUAAAGUCAAUCACGUGUGAUUGUUUGCAGGUACCAUACGAAUAAGGACCGGCUAAUUCCGUG
Molecule: ribosomal RNA, 492 nt
Filed under: uncultured bacterium
Lineage: Bacteria
Description: partial 16S ribosomal RNA
Rfam family: Bacterial small subunit ribosomal RNA
Source: RNAcentral